GGUUGAUCCUGCCAGCAAUCAUAUGCUUGUCUCAAAGAUUAAGCCAUGCAUGUCUAAGUAUAAGCGAUUAUACAGCGAAACUGCGAAUGGCUCAUUAUAUCAGUUAUAAUCUACUUGAUCAAAUCUGUUACUUGGAUAACUGUAGGAAUUCUAGAGCUAAUACAUGCGAAAAAUUCGGACCGGGGGCAACUCUGGGAAGAAUGCGUUUACUAGUCGAGAAGCCAAGAUGGGGCAUUCAACUUCGGGCAACCGAGGGUUCCAUAAAAAAGAUGAAUCAUAGUAAGUUUCACGC
Molecule: ribosomal RNA, 292 nt
Filed under: uncultured eukaryote
Lineage: Eukaryota
Description: partial 18S ribosomal RNA
Rfam family: Eukaryotic small subunit ribosomal RNA
Source: RNAcentral